Molecule: ribosomal RNA, 465 nt
Filed under: Vreelandella stevensii
Lineage: Bacteria; Pseudomonadati; Pseudomonadota; Gammaproteobacteria; Oceanospirillales; Halomonadaceae
Description: partial 16S ribosomal RNA
Rfam family: Bacterial small subunit ribosomal RNA
Source: RNAcentral
CCUACGGGAGGCAGCAGUGGGGAAUAUUGGACAAUGGGGGCAACCCUGAUCCAGCCAUGCCGCGUGUGUGAAGAAGGCCCUCGGGUUGUAAAGCACUUUCAGUGAGGAAGAACGCCUGGUGGUUAAUACCCAUCAGGAAAGACAUCACUCACAGAAGAAGCACCGGCUAACUCCGUGUCAGCAGCCGCGGUAAUACGGAGGGUGCGAGCGUUAAUCGGAAUUACUGGGCGUAAAGCGCGCGUAGGUGGCUUGAUAAGCCGGUUGUGAAAGCCCCGGGCUCAACCUGGGAACGGCAUCCGGAACUGUCAAGCUAGAGUGCAGGAGAGGAAGGUAGAAUUCCCGGUGUAGCGGUGAAAUGCGUAGAGAUCGGGAGGAAUACCAGUGGCGAAGGCGGCCUUCUGGACUGACACUGACACUGAGGUGCGAAAGCGUGGGUAGCAAACAGGAUUAGAUACCCCUGUAGUC